Molecule: ribosomal RNA, 442 nt
Filed under: uncultured bacterium
Lineage: Bacteria
Description: partial 16S ribosomal RNA
Rfam family: Bacterial small subunit ribosomal RNA
Source: RNAcentral
CCUACGGGUGGCUGCAGUGGGGGAUAUUGGGCAAUGGGCGCAAGCCUGACCCAGCAAUGCCGCGUGAAGGAAGAAGGCUUUCGGGUUGUAAACUUCUUUGACAGGGGAAGAGCAGAAGACGGUACCCUGACAACAAGCCACGGCUAACUACGUGCCAGCAGCCGCGGUAAUACGUAGGUGGCAAGCGUUGUCCGGAUUUACUGGGUGUAAAGGGCGUGUAGCCGGGAAGGCAAGUCAGAGGGGAAAUGUGGGGGCUCAACCCCCAAAUUGCAUUUGAAACUGUUUGUCUUGAGUACUGGAGAGGCAGACGGAAUUCCUGGUGUAGCGGUGAAAUGCGUAGAUAUAAGGAGGAACACCAGUGGCGAAGGCGGUUUGCUGGACAGCAACUGACGGUGAGGCGCGAAAGCGUGGGGAGCAAACAGGAUUAGAUACCCCAGUAGUC